Molecule: unclassified non-coding RNA, 2084 nt
Filed under: Daphnia pulex (common water flea)
Lineage: Eukaryota; Metazoa; Arthropoda; Branchiopoda; Diplostraca; Daphniidae
Description: integrin alpha ina-1-like, transcript variant X2
Source: RNAcentral
UCAGGGUGAGGACAGAAGUACUCAUCUACCGAGUACAGAAGAAUGUAGCUCGGCCAUUUUGUUUCAAGACGCAGCAGAGGCUGGUUUUAAUGGUCGUGACGUUCCCCAUGAUGAAAGUGAAAGGUGAUUCAGCAUGUACACCUUUCCGAAUCAUCCAACUCGGAAUUGAAAAUACCUUUACAUUGUGUCGAAAUGUCGUGCCUCGUGCUGGCCUCGUGUGUCUUGCUGCCUAGAUUUAGAAAUCCGUAAUCUAGCCUGUAAUUUCCAGUUGGCGAAAUCAUCUGAAUACGUGGGUCAAAACUGCUGUGCAUUUGGCCGAAAUUUCGUCUAGUGUGACUUGUACGGAUUGGCUGCAAUUCAUCCCAUGAAGAUACUUCAGAGCAAUCAAAGUAAAUUAGUUGUUAGGAGAUUCAUAUUCUUAUCUAUCGAAGAAAUUGAGAACAUGGCAAAGUCUGAGCUUAGUUGCUGUCAUGCAGAUGCUUUCGUUGCAGCCAGCUGGGGUGCAUUAGGCGCAUGCCAAGGAGCUUGCAGAUUCAAGAAACAGUUACAAAGAAUCCUUCUCACGACAUCGAAGAGUUUCAUCAAGAUGUGUGAGUAUGUGUGAGUUUCACAUCUUGGUGAAACUCUUCGACGUAGUGAGAAGGAGACGGCUGACGAAUGGAUUCAACGUGAAACGAGCAUCAUGUCCCAACUAACUGAACAGAAUAAAAAAUAUGUGGAAGAGUUCGAGACUUUUUUACAAGAAAUUCGUAUCGAGCUUCCAUCAGACGAAAGAGGAAAUCGGAAGGGUGGUCGAAGAGAGAGAUGCUGCUCGUGAUGACAUCGCUGUACUUCAGGAUUUCAGGUGCAGACUGAUGCUCAACUCGCUGCUCUGACUGAACAGUACGACUAGGAGGGAGCAUUGCUUGUUGAGAAAUUGUCAGUUCAGAUUCAGAACGCACUUGGGGAGUUUCGCUGGGGCCAGAAGAAAUAAGAUCCUUCCCCUUCAGGCGAAGAUGGCGUUUCCAUUCUGGAACUGGGUGAGCUCCAGGAAGUCGUCCUGGACAUAUCCGUUACCAACACUGGAGAGUCGGCAUACGAGGCCGGUCUCUACGUCUCCCACCCGCGAUCGCUCAGCUUCAUCGGCCGAGUCUCGGAGGCCAAUCAACUGCUCUGCAACUCGUUUAACGCCACCAUGGUCACGUGCUCGCUGGGCAACCCUUUCAAACACGGAUCUGGAUACGUCAAACUGCGGUUCAAUCCCAGCAACGUCGAGGAUUCCGAAGCCCGUCUGGCUUUCCUCAUCUUUACAAACACGACGUGUCAAGAACUCGAACCCGAAGGCAACAUUCCCGUCUACGCCAACGUGGUCAAAUGAGCCGAAAUCUCAAUCAAAGGAUUGGGCCGAUCGGAGCAGGUUUUUUUCGGUGGCGAGGUUCAAUCCACCAUCAAGUACCGUGACGAAAUCGGCCAGCCCCUGCUUCACUGCUACGAAAUCUACAAUGCGGGACCGUGGAAGGUGCCGUUCCUGUCGGUCAUCUUUUCGUGGCCCUACCAGGUCGAGAACGGGAAACCCAUCGGCAAAUGGCUCCUCUACAUGGACGAGACCCCUAAAGUCGACGGUGAUGGCGAGUGUAUCAUGGAUCCCAAGCAAGUGAACGUGCUCGAUCUCCCCAAGCGGCCCGGAUUCGUCGAGGCUCCCAUCGAGCAUUUGGCCAGACAUUUGCCCGUUCCGACCAUCAGCGACAUUGACGAGAACGAGAUUGUUGAAAUGGAUUCCGCGCCGGUCAAUUCAACCCGUCAGAAACGGCAAGUGGGCGUCGUCAUUCUGCCCUAGGCUAUCGUCGAUAACGAGGGCAAGACCCGCCACGUCGUCACUAUGGACUGCGAUCGCGGGACGGCCGAGUACUUCAUGUUUCGGUGCAACAUCAGGAAUCUGCAGAGCAAGCAAUGGGCCGUGAUUAAAAUCCGAGCCAGAUUGUGGAAUGCGACCCUUGUCGAGGAUUUCCCAGGCAUUCACACCGUCAAGAUACGUUCCAAAGCCCACAUUUCCCUGGAUCCUUCCCUGGAAAUCACACAGCGGAUGGAAGAUGAUCUCGAUUAUG